UCUGACUCAGUCUGGCUAUUCUUAUGUUCUGUGUUCCCCUGUUACUGAGCCGCCCUCUCCCUGUUGCAGAAACAGACGGCAGCCGAGAGGCAGAAGAUCGUCAGGGAGUGGCAGGAGCUGCGAGGGUGUCUGGAGGAGCAGGAACAGCGUCUGCUGGCCCGGCUGGAAGAGCUAGAGAGAGCCAUUGUCCAGAGAAGGGAUGAGGGCGUCUGCAGCCUGUCGUGGGAGAUUUCCCUGCUCAGCGAGAGGGGAGGAGAGAAGGGGCAGCAGCCGCUGAGCCAACCCCUGCAGGGUGUUGGGAGCACUGGGGGCAGGGAGGACAGGACAUUUCGGAAGCUAGAGCCGUCGUUUGCGGAGCUGGAGAAGAGACUCAGCGAUUUUUCUCUGAAAAGUGCCAUGCUGCAGGAGGUGGUGCUGAGAUUCAAAGAGACGCUGCGACGGGGGCUGGGGAGCGACACAGCCAUCCCGAUGAUGAUUAAUUUCUGGGAAACAUCCUCAGCAGAAUUAUUUGAAGGUGUUGUACCAGACAGUAAAGGCACAGAGGCAGUGGCUUGUGGGAAAGAGGGUAAGUUUCAUUACUAAUCCUGCUCUUAAAAAGAGGCUCUUUUUAGAAAACUAGUUUAACUUACAAGCACUGAGAGACUUUAAGAAAGUCACUAAUCACGAGAGCAAUGGGUCCCUUUGGAACAUAUUUUAACUGACAAGCCCUUAGAGCCUUUCUGAGAAACAGGAUAGAACUAUGGUCAAAAUGAAGUGCAAAUUAAUGAACGUGCAUCAUGAGGAGAAAGAGAAGGGAACACAAAUUAAAAUAUAAUGAAAACAAAGCCUCUCAGAAAGGAACUGUUAUCAGUUUAGUAGCAGUGUUGCCAUGUCAGGGGUGAGGUGGGAGAUGAUUUUCUCUUCCCACCCCAUCGCUUUUUAAAAGUCUCAAAAGGAAUAAAAGUAGGUGGCAUAGUUAAUUUUGUAUUAUUUUGUUUACUAAUUAAAUCCAUGUCCCUAAGGCCAAAUUUGGCCUAGGUAACUUUGUUGCCACAUUUUCUUGUUUACCAAGCAGAGGGCUUAGUACUGGCCCUGAACUACAUCAUUAGCCCCCUUUUUGUUUGGACUAAUUUAAUUUUCUGUAGUUGGUCGUCUUGCACCUGUGCAUGGCAUUCAUGGCUGAAAAGAAUUUAACCUACUUUUCAUCAACUUGUUGCUGUAGGGUAUUGUAAGAUCUUAUGAACUUUUGUCGUCUUUUUACAGUGAAGUAAGGCAGAGAGUUCAAAACGUGGGUGUUACUGGAAUUAACAGUUCCCAGGGUUGGUCCAUGUAUGCCAUUGCACUGGGCUCAUUCACGCUUUGUCCGGGUACCAUGUAGCACUCUCUUCCCAUGCGUAGUCAAU
RNAcentral lists this long non-coding RNA (1382 nucleotides) under Gopherus evgoodei (Goodes thornscrub tortoise). Its description in RNAcentral is "lncRNA (ENSGEVG00005016545.1)". The record is from RNAcentral. Lineage: Eukaryota; Metazoa; Chordata; Testudines; Testudinidae.